GGGCAAUGAUGCAAAAGCAGCCUGGGAGGAGGUAAGUACUGCUGUCAACCAAGUUUGCCCGGAGGUGCUGAGCAAUGCAAAAAGUGGUUCAAUGAUGUUAGACGACGGGCUAAACUAAAAUUAUCUCAACACCGUCGCCAGACAGCAACGACCGGAGGCGGCCCCUCAUCGAUGGUGUCUCUGAGCCCUGCCGAGGACAUGGCAUCCUCCACACUCCCCUAAAUCAGUAUUGAGGGGUUUGGUGUCUCUGAGGUUGGACUCACGAGUAAGACAAACAUUCUUUUCCGCAAAUAAAGACAGUAACAUCAUGUAUAUUUAACCACGUGUUACAAAGGUGUGUUGUGUGCACAGGUGAUCUAAAAAAAAAAAGGGCCUUGGGUAAUGAGAUUGAAAUCGGAAUGACCUGUGCGUAAAGGACGGAUCAAACAAAGCCUGAUUGUAUUUUCUCCCUUUCCGCUAAUGUUUGCAUGUGAAAUGAACUUGGCUCACACAAUUUAUAACUUCUUUAUUAUGAAUGAAAGUAUUGUGUUACAUUUAAAAAAAUGAAUUACUAUCAUUAACGAAAAUAAAAUUUCUGGUCAGCCUCAGCAGAAUUGCCACUGUUGCGGCAGCAGCACCACACCUGAGAGGAGGAGCAGCAGCAGGAGCAGGAGGUCAGGGAGGAGGAGGAGGAGGAGGAUGACGACGAUGACAACGAUGACGAGGGCGAGGAGGACCAGGGGGAGCCGGUGCCGGAGACGCAGGAGGGGGAAGAACACAGACCCAAGCCAGCAACACGGGGUCGGAGACGCAUCCAGGUCCAGGAGGAGGACCUUCCCUUCCUGUAGAUCCAGCGGGCUGGGUUUCACAUGUUGGAGAGGGAGCUGGGUUCGAUGGGGGCGAGGCUUGGGUCCCUGGAGGCCCAAUUGAAGUCACUACAGGAGAUGUUCCAGGACAGCCUGCUCCCCCUAGCCUCUGGUGUUGCCACACUCGAUCGACUGGUCCAGGUAGCAGAAUGGCUGCUGCCAUCUGCACAAUCAUCCACCCCCGUCUGUCCCAGGUGGCCGCUGAGGCUGCGCACAAGAUGGGGGCAGCCCCCUGGGUUGACGGACUGCGCGCAGCGUCCAGACACAAGAGGAGGAAGAAAGAAGAAGAAGGGUAAUGGGGAGGGGAGAACAAUAAAACACCUGUUAACGCAAUCAUGUUUGACUAUUUAUUGGAUGUUUUAAUGUGGAUAAUUACAAAUCAAGUGUAUAAAUGAAUGAAAGCAAAUACUCACAUUUAAGGGUAGAGCUGUGCUGCGAGGCGGUCCCUCCUCUCUUGUGCGCUCUGCUGCUCUCCCUGCUGACAUGGCACAUGCAAUUCGGCCUCUCUCUGUCUAAUGUCCAGUAAUGUGUCCUCGGUGAGGUCAUAGUGUCAUCCAUGGCGUAAAGCUAUGUUGUGUAAAACACAACAUGCCACAAAGAAUGCAGCGACACUCUGCGGGCUGUAUGUUAAUGAACCACCUGACCAGUCCAGACAUCUGAAACGCAUUUUGAGGAUUCCGUUACGUUCAAUGACUGACCUAGCACUGCUGAAGACACUGUUAAAAACACGUUGCUGUCUUGUUGAAGGUGUAAUGUAUGGCGUAAUCAACCACGUUUUCAGUGGAUAGCCGCAAUGAGGCCACAGUGCGUGUUACUGCGUGGACUACCUCACGGGACAGGUGUAAUUUGUUCCUGUGUCAAGGAAAAGAGUUGAUUGUUAAAAGGCAGUUGCAUGUGUUGGAGGCGUUAUCCAUGUGGCCCACCUGCUGUUAAGGUUAAAUAUGAUGCCCUUUGAUGAAACACCCUCGCCCUGUAAGUUCUCCUCCUCCUCCUCCAUCUCCUUGCAAUUAUGUACUCCAUCUUUGUAGAUAAUGUUAAGCAUGGAAAUGAUAACAUUUGUAGCUGUGAGAUCACAUGCUGCAGGUAAAUCUUGAGAACAACGGUCAUAACUUACUUUGCUUCAAUGUGCAUCGAUUUUUUUUGAGUGUUCUGAGAUGACAUGCCAAAUAUAUAAUCUCUACAAUCUCCUUUUCCCCCAUUUGGUUACCCGACUAGUGGUGGAGUGAGUGGUCGUCUUGGGGGUGGUGGAUCUUCAUUGCUGUCUACAGGGGACAUACAGAUUGGUGGCUUUUCCCCAUUCACCAGCCACCUUUCGCAAAACCUUCACACCAGAAAUUAUAAAAGUAGCCAAAAAAAUGUCAGGGGAGAGGAAGCUUUGUUAGAUUUGGCUUGUGUGUCUUGUGGCACGACUAAAACUAAGACUGUGGCUGUGGUAGCCUGAUGAGAUGAAGACUGUGACGACAAUGAGGUUAAAUACAAGAGGUAAUGAGGGUUAUGGGAAACAGGUGGGGAGAGACAAUCAGGGGGCAGGUGUGACAAGACGGGGGCAGGGCAGGCAGGAACACAUCUGAAACAGGGACAACUGUUAGUGACUUCAAAACAAAGCAGAAAGGACUAGACAUGAAACAUUAAUGUGCCAGAAUAAAGAAAACUUAACAGACAUGACACUCCUCCUCCUCUUCCAAACCAAAUGGUUUCCUUUCAAAUUACAGCUGUCUUUCAGUCUUUUCAUUCUGCUUCAAUAUUUACCCUCACUAAAGUGAUUCAUAAAAGGAAACCCUCCUCCUGUGCUCUCAACAUCCUGCCUGUGAGAUUUCUAAAAAAAAAGGUUUAUGAGCCAAUCAGUUCACAUCCCCUCUCUACAAUAAACUCAUGGCUGAUAACUGAUGCUGUUCCAACUGAUUUUAAAAAAUAAAUAAAUAAAUAAAGAUCAACCUGGAUCGAUGAAACACUCAAUAGACACAAAUUCUCUGCAUAAUUUCAGACCCAUUUCAGAACUUCUGUUUCUAUCCAAAGCUCC
This 2865-nucleotide long non-coding RNA is filed under the name Xyrichtys novacula (pearly razorfish). Lineage: Eukaryota; Metazoa; Chordata; Actinopteri; Labriformes; Labridae. The record is from RNAcentral.